UAGGGAAUCUUCGGCAAUGGACGAAAGUCUGACCGAGCAACGCCGCGUGAGUGAAGAAGGUUUUCGGAUCGUAAAACUCUGUUGUUAGAGAAGAACAAGGACGUUAGUAACUGAACGUCCCCUGACGGUAUCUAACCAGAAAGCCACGGCUAACUACGUGCCAGCAGCCGCGGUAAUACGUAGGUGGCAAGCGUUGUCCGGAUUUAUUGGGCGUAAAGCGAGCGCAGGCGGUUUCUUAAGUCUGAUGUGAAAGCCCCCGGCUCAACCGGGGAGGGUCAUUGGAAACUGGGAGACUUGAGUGCAGAAGAGGAGAGUGGAAUUCCAUGUGUAGCGGUGAAAUGCGUAGAUAUAUGGAGGAACACCAGUGGCGAAGGCGGCUCUCUGGUCUGUAACUGACGCUGAGGCUCGAAAGCGUGGGGAGCAAACAUG
This 429-nucleotide ribosomal RNA is filed under the name Gemmatimonadota bacterium. RNAcentral's name for it is "Gemmatimonadetes bacterium partial 16S ribosomal RNA". It matches the Rfam family "Bacterial small subunit ribosomal RNA", at positions 355 to 776 of the family's 1533-position model. The record is from RNAcentral. Lineage: Bacteria; Pseudomonadati; Gemmatimonadota.